CGGCGGACGGGUGAGUAACACGUGGAUAACCUACCUAUAAGACUGGGAUAACUUCGGGAAACCGGAGCUAAUACCGGAUAAUAUAUUGAACCGCAUGGUUCAAUAGUGAAAGACGGUUUUGCUGUCACUUAUAGAUGGAUCCGCGCCGUAUUAGCUAGUUGGUAAGGUAACGGCUUACCAAGGCAACGAUGCGUAGCCGACCUGAGAGGGUGAUCGGCCACACUGGAACUGAGACACGGUCCAGACUCCUACGGGAGGCAGCAGGG
Molecule: ribosomal RNA, 266 nt
Filed under: uncultured Staphylococcus sp.
Lineage: Bacteria; Bacillati; Bacillota; Bacilli; Caryophanales; Staphylococcaceae
Description: partial 16S ribosomal RNA
Rfam family: Bacterial small subunit ribosomal RNA
Source: RNAcentral